RNAcentral lists this transfer RNA (77 nucleotides) under Bifidobacterium magnum. Its description in RNAcentral is "tRNA-Pro". It matches the Rfam family "tRNA". Rfam says of the family: Transfer RNA (tRNA) molecules are approximately 80 nucleotides in length. Their secondary structure includes four short double-helical elements and three loops (D, anti-codon, and T loops). Further hydrogen bonds mediate the characteristic L-shaped molecular structure. tRNAs have two regions of fundamental functional importance: the anti-codon, which is responsible for specific mRNA codon recognition, and the 3' end, to which the tRNAs corresponding amino acid is attached (by aminoacyl-tRNA synthetases). tRNAs cope with the degeneracy of the genetic code in two manners: having more than one tRNA (with a specific anti-codon) for a particular amino acid; and 'wobble' base-pairing, i.e. permitting non-standard base-pairing at the 3rd anti-codon position. Lineage: Bacteria; Bacillati; Actinomycetota; Actinomycetes; Bifidobacteriales; Bifidobacteriaceae. The record is from RNAcentral. RNAcentral also lists the same sequence under 3 other names.
CGGGCUGUGGCGCAGCUUGGUAGCGCGCUUCGUUCGGGACGAAGAGGCCGCGAGUUCAAAUCUCGCCAGCCCGACCA